CCCUUCGGGGUGUAAAGCUCUUUCGUCGGGGAAGAUAAUGACGGUACCUGAAGAAGAAGCUGCGGCUAACUACGUGCCAGCAGCCGCGGUAAUACGUAGGCAGCAAGCGUUGUUCGGAGUUACUGGGCGUAAAGGGUGCGUAGGCGGUUUUUUAAGUUUGGUGUGAAAUCUCCCGGCUCAACUGGGAGGGUGCGCCGAAUACUGAGAGGCUAGAGUGUGGGAGAGGAAAGUGGAAUUCCUGGUGUAGCGGUGAAAUGCGUAGAUAUCAGGAGGAACACCUGUGGUGUAAACGGCUUUCUGGACCAUAACUGACGCUGAGGCACGAAAGCGUGGGUAGCAAACAGGAUUAGAUACCCUGGUAGUCCACGCCCUAAACGAUGCAUAUUUGGUGUGGGCCAUUCAUUUGGU
This 408-nucleotide ribosomal RNA is filed under the name uncultured Acidobacteriota bacterium. Its description in RNAcentral is "bacterial SSU rRNA". It matches the Rfam family "Bacterial small subunit ribosomal RNA", at positions 414 to 840 of the family's 1533-position model. The record is from RNAcentral. Lineage: Bacteria; Pseudomonadati; Acidobacteriota.